RNAcentral lists this ribosomal RNA (403 nucleotides) under uncultured bacterium. RNAcentral describes it as "partial 16S ribosomal RNA". It matches the Rfam family "Bacterial small subunit ribosomal RNA", at positions 28 to 526 of the family's 1533-position model. The record is from RNAcentral.
GUCGAACGCUGGCGGCGUGCCUAAUACAUGCAAGUCGAACGCAGUGGGGCCGGGUGAGUAACCCGUGGGUAACCUCCCAUCAGAGGGGAUAACACUUGGAAACAGGUGCUCAACCGAUACUGAUGGAUGGUCCCGCGGUGCAUUAGCUAGUUGGUGAGGUAACGGCUCACCAAGGCCACGAUGCAUAGCUGGUCGGAGAGGGUGAUAGGCCACACGGGGACUGAGACACGGCCCAGACUCCUACGGGAGGCAGCAGUAGGGAAUAUUGGGCAAUGGACGAAAGUCUGACCGAGAAACGCCGCGUGAGUGAAGAAGGUUUUCGGAUCGUAAAACUCUGUAGUUAGAGAAGCGGUAUCUAACCAGAAAGCAACGGCUAACUACGUGCCAGCAGCCGCGGUAAUUC